CCUACGGGGGGCAGCAGUGGGGGAUAUUGGUCAAUGGACGAGAGUCUGAACCAGCCAAGUAGCGUGAAGGAUGACUGCCCUAUGGGUUGUAAACUUCUUUUAUAUGGGAAUAAAAUGUUCCACGUGUGGGAUUUUGUAUGUACCAUAUGAAUAAGGAUCGGCUAACUCCGUGCCAGCAGCCGCGGUAAUACGGAGGAUCCGAGCGUUAUCCGGAUUUAUUGGGUUUAAAGGGAGCGUAGGUGGAUUGUUAAGUCAGUUGUGAAAGUUUGCGGCUCAACCGUAAAAUUGCAGUUGAAACUGGCAGUCUUGAGUACAGGAGAGGUGGGCGGAAUUCGUGGUGUAGCGGUGAAAUGCUUAGAUAUCACGAAGAACUCCGAUUGCGAAGGCAGUUCACUGGACUGCAACUGACACUGAGGCUCGAAAGUGUGGGUAUCAAACAGGAUUAGAUACCCUUGUAGUC
Molecule: ribosomal RNA, 460 nt
Filed under: uncultured bacterium
Lineage: Bacteria
Description: partial 16S ribosomal RNA
Rfam family: Bacterial small subunit ribosomal RNA
Source: RNAcentral